RNAcentral lists this ribosomal RNA (497 nucleotides) under uncultured bacterium. Its description in RNAcentral is "partial 16S ribosomal RNA". It matches the Rfam family "Bacterial small subunit ribosomal RNA", at positions 28 to 507 of the family's 1533-position model. The record is from RNAcentral.
GAUGAACGCUGGCGGCGUGCCUAAUACAUGCAAGUCGAGCGAACGGACGAUAAGCUUGCUUCGCUGAUGUUAGCGGCGGACGGGUGAGUAACACGUGGAUAACCUACCUAUAAUACUGGGAUAACUUCGGGAAACCGGAGCUAAUACCGGAUAAUAUUUUGAACCGCAUGGUUCAAAAGUGAAAGACGGUCUUGCGGUCACGUAUAGAUGGAUCCGCGCUUCAUUAGCUAGUUGGUAAGGUAACGGCUUACCAAGGCAACGAUGCAUAGACGAGCUGAGAGGGUGAUCGGCCACACUGGAACUGAGACACGGUCCAGACUCCUACGGGAGGCCGCAGUCGGGAAUCUUACGCAAUGGGCGAGAGCCUGACGCAGCAACCCCGCGUGUGUGAUGACGGUCUUCGGAUCGUAAAAAUCUGUUAUUAGGGAAGAACAUAUGUGUAAGUAAAUGUGCACAUCUUGACGGUAACUAAUCAGAAAGCCCCGGCUAACUACGUG